CCUACGGGAGGCUGCAGUGGGGAAUAUUGGACAAUGGGGGCAACCCUGAUCCAGCCAUGCCGCGUGUGUGAAGAAGGCCCUCGGGUUGUAAAGCACUUUCAGUGAGGAAGAACGCCUGGUGGUUAAUACCCAUCAGGAAAGACAUCACUCACAGAAGAAGCACCGGCUAACUCCGUGCCAGCAGCCGCGGUAAUACGGAGGGUGCGAGCGUUAAUCGGAAUUACUGGGCGUAAAGCGCGCGUAGGUGGCUUGAUAAGCCGGUUGUGAAAGCCCCGGGCUCAACCUGGGAACGGCAUCCGGAACUGGCAAGCUAGAGUGCAGGAGAGGAAGGUAGAAUUCCCGGUGUAGCGGUGAAAUGCGUAGAGAUCGGGAGGAAUACCAGUGGCGAAGGCGGCCUUCUGGACUGACACUGACACUGAGGUGCGAAAGCGUGGGUAGCAAACAGGAUUAGAUACCCGUGUAGUC
Molecule: ribosomal RNA, 465 nt
Filed under: Vreelandella stevensii
Lineage: Bacteria; Pseudomonadati; Pseudomonadota; Gammaproteobacteria; Oceanospirillales; Halomonadaceae
Description: partial 16S ribosomal RNA
Rfam family: Bacterial small subunit ribosomal RNA
Source: RNAcentral